CAAUAGCGUAUAUUUAAGUUGUUGCAGUUAAAAAGCUCGUAGUUGGAUUUCGGUUAAGAGCGACCGGUCCGCCGUUUGGUGUGCACUGGUUGGUUUUAACUUCCUGUAGAGGACGUGCUCUGGGUUUAACGACCUGGACUCGGAGUCUACGUGGUUACUUUGAAAAAAUUAGAGUGUUCAAAGCGGGCUUACGCUUGAAUAUUUCAGCAUGGAAUAACACUAUAGGACUCCUGUCCUAUUUCGUUGGUCUCGGGACGGGAGUAAUGAUUAAGAGGAACAGUUGGGGGCAUUCGUAUUUCAUCGUCAGAGGUGAAAUUCUUGGAUUUAUGAAAGACGAACUUCUGCGAAAGCAUUUGCCAAGGAUGUUUUCAUUAA
Molecule: ribosomal RNA, 375 nt
Filed under: uncultured eukaryote
Lineage: Eukaryota
Description: partial 18S ribosomal RNA
Rfam family: Eukaryotic small subunit ribosomal RNA
Source: RNAcentral